RNAcentral lists this long non-coding RNA (2336 nucleotides) under Physcomitrium patens. RNAcentral describes it as "long non-coding RNA (PPAT_LNC008812)". Lineage: Eukaryota; Viridiplantae; Streptophyta; Bryopsida; Funariales; Funariaceae. The record is from RNAcentral.
UUACUCAUUGACUAGUGGGACAUUUGUUUGAUUUCAUGAGAUUAGAUUCUGUCCUCUUAAUCCAAAGACAAGGGCAAGGACCAAGUCCUGCUUAAGCACACAAUCUCAAGAAAAGGUCAGCUCCAAUCAUGUGCUCAGCCAUGGUAAAAAACGGACUUGUAAUGGACUUCUAAUUUUUAGUUCUUACAUGAUAGACUGAAUAAACUAGGCCUUGACUUGUAGUGUACAAAACCUAAAGAAGGUCAGGCUUAACCUUGUUGCUAAGAGUUGGCAAUUAAUAACACAAGUGUCUUACAUGUGUGAAAAACUUCCCUUCACUCACACACUCAGGGCAUUACAAAGACUUUAUCUAGAGAUGCUAGUUACACUUUUACUGGAGCUUAUUUUCAGAAGCUUUCUUUCAAAUGCUAAAUUUUGCUUAGACCACAAAAGCCCAUCUGCUGAAUUGUUUGAGCUCAGGCAGGUGCUCAUUCUUAUAGCUGAACUUGAAGUCAGUAGAGCUUCUCCAGAGGCCUGCAACAGGUUGCUCCAGAGUCAGGGUUUAGGGUUUUUGCUAUUAAGGUUGAAGACACAGCUGGCUAGAAACCAUUCAAGAGAGCAUUUAUUAUUCCUCAAAAGGAGGAGACCAAGUGUUGACAUUGCUAUGACAAAGUGGCUUUGGCUUUGAGAACACCAGUGGGCACCAUGUUCCCUUUUAGACUUCCUUCAUCCAGUGCACAUGAAAAAAUUUGACACAAGUAAAGGAGUCGAAGAAGAGGAAGCUCUCAUGCCCCCAUUCACAUGGCCUGCCACUUAGCUCACAUUCACCACACUUACCUCCAAAUCCAGCAGUUCAGGGUUCCCAUUCCCACCUGCUCCAUGCUCCCAACUAUUCCACAUGGAAAAUGUAAUCACAUUCACAAGAUGCAUGGUUGAGCCAGAACUAGUUGGCAGUUCACACAACAGUGUUUUAAAGUGUAUGUGCUUCCUCACCCUAUAUUUCUUAAGGUUUUUAAAAGAAUAUAAGUAAAAGAAUAUAAAUUAUAUAUGAUAUCUUUGUAUAUGUAUAUAUAGAUAUACAGAUAUAUAUGUCACAGACAUACAUAUUUACUCUAAUAAUUAUAAAAAUAAUACAAUAAAUAGAAAUAAGUAAAAUAGAUUAACUUUAUAAUAUCUUUCAAAGAACCUUCCUAGAAGCUUUGUAGACAUAAUUUCAUCUUUAUAUGUGUCUAUAGGUGAUUGAUAGGUUGAAUACUCAGCCAACAAGUUAAUCACGUGUCAUAUGUGCUAGUAGCUUGUGGUACAAGCUGAUCAUGUGGCACACAUAUAUGAAACUUGUCUUACAAGUUAAGAUAUGUGUCUCACAAAUUAGACACGUAUUGGAGGUCCUAUAAAAUGUUGCCAUGUAGCUCUUAGUUAGAUAGUAUAUAUAGAGGCAAGAGUGAAGCCUCCUUCAUUCUUGUCAAUUCCUUUCUUGCUUCUAAUGUAGUUUCAAAUAUCUCUAGUUUCCUUGUCUUUUGGCAAUAGUCAUUUCAAUUUCUUUUGAAUAUACAUAUGUAUUUAUAUUAUUUUUUUGUCAUCAUUCUUUGAAAAAAAUCUUGGUUGUUUAUUCACAUUCAUUAAGUUCUUAUCCUUGACAAUUUAUAGAUUUGUGUGUUUAUUUUAAAAAAUUAUAUUCUUUGAUCCACCUUCCUACAAAAUAAAAAAAAAAAAUAUUAAAAGAUAAAAUAGUGGGUUUUAAUUUAUUUUUAUUUUUUACUUAUUUCUUAUUUAUUUCAAAAAAUUGUACUCUUUUUUAAACUUUGAUGUAAGUUAAAGAGAUCUAAAUAUUUUUAUCUAAUCUUUUUUUUCUUUUCUUUUUUUCUUUUUUUUUCUUUUUUUCUUUCUUUUUUCAAUUCUAUCUUUUAAAAAAAAACUAGUACCAAAUCAAUAGUUUCACAAAUCAAAUCCAACUUUUCAUCAAACAAAAAACCUUUACUUACAACUUUGCCUUCAUAAAGGAUACAAACAACAACUCCAAAAGGUACCACUACCUCUUCCAUAAAUCUCAAAGGAACCUCUCUUAUGAGCCUCAAUCCCAUGAUAUAUGUAUAUGUUGGCAAAGCAACUUUUCAUCAAACAAAAAACCUUUCACAAAUCAAAUCCAACUUUUAUAUUUAUUGAUAUAUUUAUCGUGAAUCUGAAGAUAUAUAUAUCAGGCCGGUCAGUAGGUAGGAGGAAAAAUAUCUUCAGAUUCACGAUAAAUUACAUUCUUAUUAGUAAAGCCUACUUUUAAGGCAGUUAAUAGGAUGAAACCAGAAGAGCCACAAAAUUUUCCAGACUAACAAGACAAGUUCUUCUAACUCUUGAAGCCCAAU